GGAUCAUUGAUAUAUGGUCAUUGCUUUUAAAUCGGAAGGAAGCAGGUCGUGGAUUGGGGUCCCCAAAGAGAUUCUUUAUCCCUCCUACAACUUGUGUGAACUUGACUGAAGAACUUCUUAGACGGAAAAAACCGGUGAUGCAAUGUGAGCUUGAGUUCCAUAAGAGAUUGUUGAACAUGCUCAACUGCUCCGAGUAUGGAGAUAUGUCAGAUGUCGAUCUUGUUUUUUGUCCUAUUCUUCAAAGGGGUUGGUACGUAGUUUUAUGUUUCAAUUUCAAGCAUUCCAAGAUUGAUAUUAUUGACCAAAGGAUGCUUACCAGAAUAUUGGAUGAAAAUUAUGGUGGCUACGCAA
Beta vulgaris subsp. vulgaris (sugar beet) is the source of this 351-nucleotide long non-coding RNA. RefSeq lists it as uncharacterized. The record is from RefSeq and is a predicted model, not a curated record. NCBI's taxonomy places the organism in Eukaryota, Viridiplantae, Streptophyta, Magnoliopsida, Caryophyllales, Amaranthaceae. The transcript is spliced from 3 exons.